CUGUGUGGUUGGUGGUGAAUAGGCUUCUUUUUACAUGGUGCUGCCAGCCCAGCUAAUUAAUGGUGCACGUGGACUUUUAGCAAGCGGGCUCACUGGAAGAGACUGAACCUGGCAUGGAAUUCCUGAAGAUGUUUGGGGUUUUUUUCUUUCUUAAUCGAAAGUUAACAUUGUCUGAAAAGUUUUGUUAGAACUACUGCGGAACCUCAAAAUCAGUAGAUUUGGAAGUGAUUCAAAGCUAAACUUUUUCCUUGGCCCUCCUUGUGUUCUAAUUGCUUGCAAGUGUAAUACUAGGAUGUCCAAGAUGCCAGUUUUUGCUUCUUUGUUAGUUGUCAGCUGCUUUUAUCAAAUUUCAGGCCAUUAUCCAACAAACACUAUAAAAAUGUUUGAACAAUUGGAUUUCAAACAUUUUCGUUUUGUGGAGUGGUGCUCACCAAGUGGUACAGCCCUAAGCAAGUGAACACAAACACAUUUAAGUGUAUUUUGUCUGAUUAGAUGUUAGCCAGUUAUGCUAUUUCAUUCAAAUGUCUGAAAAAAUCAAUUGACUAUUCCCUUUUCCUAAAGGGCAGAGACAGAUAAUCUCACUUCCAGAGAAAUGACUUGGAGAAAAAAAAGUGUUGGUCUUUUUGCUCUUUUGUAAUUAAAUCCGGAUGUACCUCAAAAGACUUAAGACUGUGGUGAUAAGAUGCUUUCCUCAGCAGAAAGGAGGGAAAAAAAACAACUGGAACUCAAAGCUUGAAAUUCUGUGGCAAAACAUGAGAUGUCCAGGAUUGGAGGUUGAAAAGAUUUCACUACAGUGUUCUGCAAUAGUUGGAGCAGAUAACUUUCAGUGUAGCCACAGCCAUGGACUCCAGAUUUCCAGAUUUUCAAGACCUGGACCUGGAACCCGAAAGAGCUUGUCACGAUGCGGCAGGAACACUGGAGGUAGAUUUUUUUUUAUUUUUGAAUUUUGGGACUGUUGACCUUGCUGUGAGAAAAGAGACAACGACUGAGCAAGCACUACCACCAGCACUGUUACUGGGAAUUAGAAGACCUGAGUUUCUGUCCAGACCCUCAGUGCAAACUGAGGAUGCUCCAUCCAAACCUACAGACCUGGUACCUGGAUUUUUGCCCGAGAUGAUUCCUACCACCUUACUACUGACGAAGACACCCAUUCCAGUGGACCACUGUGACCCAGGAGGCAUUCAGCCAUCAUGAUGUGGCCUUUACCUCCACUCCUGUCUUGUUCUACCCAGAUUCAGCACAGCCCUUUAUAGUGAAGUCAGAGUCCUCAAGCCAAAUAGCUAAAGCUGUUUUAUCACAACAAAGGCCUAGUUUGUUCCAUGAGUGUGCAUUUCAUUUCUUCAGUUAAAGCCUUCAGAGACACACAAUAAAUUUGGACCAGGGGAUUUUUUAGUUAUUAAUGCUCUCUGAAGAAAGGCAACAUCUUUUUGAGAGCAGCAUUGGACCACACCCCACAAUCUCAAAUGAUUGAAAUUCAUGAACAUCUAGGAUCCCGUGAAGGUCACUGGACCCUGUUUUUUCUACUUCAAAUCCUGUAGUAGCCUACUGAAUGAGAAAACAUAUUCUGACCCAUUGGGAUCAAAUCAAAGGCACAGUGAACUCCUCAUAGCAUCUUCUUUGGAAUUACUCAGGAACCAGAACUUUUUACACAAAUGUAAGAAAUUCUACCAAGGAGUCCCCUUACCUAACAGCAUCUCACAAGGCUGCACCAGAUUCCAGAAAAGGCUUCUCUUGAUACAUCAAGGUAGAACCUCUAUGCAUUUUGUGACCGACUUAUUCUUAGAUCAUUGGUUUUCCAAAGGCUUUGUGGCCAUGAAGCCCUUUGAGUGAAAACUGUGCAGAAGCCCAGAGUAAAAGUGAAGCUGCUCUGGAUGAAGUAGUGAAGCAAGAGUAGGGGCCUGAAUCCUGCUACAACUAUCUUCCUUUACCACCGUGGUGACACCUAAGGGGACUUCCUUACAACACCUUGAACUCUUCCGAACACAGUUUGAAAACCACUGCCCCAGACAGCAAUAUGUUUGACCUGAAUGGCAUUCCAAUCUUUUCUGUACCUCCACUCAGCACAGUUCAUGUUCAGUAGAUGCUGAACAUUCUUAGAAAUACUGUGUGUGAACUUAGAAAAGUGCAAGAAGACAGGCAUGUCUUUGACCCCAGGAAUGAUCAUUUGCUGAAGAUGGUGUCAAGUGAACCUAGAUUAACAGCCCUCCACUCCAGAUGGAUAUCCAGUGAUUCCUAGAAUGGGAUAUAGCCAGAGAACAAUUCUAUGCACCCUACACUGACAGACUCCCUUAAGCAACACCAGAUGCUCUACUGGUACUUGAAGUACAUGACUUUGAAGUCUUGACCCUCCAUGAAUACCUGAAUUAUCAGCAAGCGGGUUUUGAAGCUGGUGCCUCAUUGAGGCCAUAUUAGAGCAACUUGUACAUUUGACCUCUUGUUAUCAGCCAUGGUACUCUACUUCGUGUGCAAGAGAUAACUAUGAAAGCCAAAUUCAAAUACUGGCAACAUUUCCUAAAGGGGCUCAAUAUCUAUCAUUCGUCUUCUUUUCCAAACUACACAUCACUGUAUGACUCAACCAGUAGCAGUUAUAUUGCCCCUUGGUUUUUAUUCAGUUUAACUACUGUUUCCAAGAUAAAUGAGCUAAUAAGCUUUAAAAAAAAAAAAAAAAAAGGCUGAAUUCUUUUUUCUUCAUCACUGGCAUAUCUGCCUAUUCUCCAGAAUUAUUAUGACUAUUCAGCUCACUUUAACAGUUGAACUUCAAGCGACAAUCUUUGAACACCCCUUCUCAUGUGAUUUAAAAUGAAACCAUUUGGAAAAGUUUCUUCUAGCCAGUAAUAGAUUUUUUUUUUAAUUGCUCUGCCUUGUGCCGAGAGAUGUUCUUUUAAGAUGAAUCUUUUGAUGUCUGAUACCACCAAAUAUAGGUGGUAGGGAGAGUUGGAGGCUGGCCCUUUGAGCAGGCCAUUAGCUUACUUGCUGGGCAUUUCCGAUAGCUUAUUGCCUACCUUUUUGCUGGAAACAAACUGAUUUGAAAAACAAAAUCUAUGAAGACUGCAGCUAAGGAUUUUAUCGGUAGACUUAAGAGCUUUUGUCCUUGUGGAUAUUUUAGUGGAACCACAUCAGUCUCAAUACUGUCAUUUUACACUGACUCAGAGCAGCUGACUUCAUUCCUUGCCAUGAUAUAUAUUUAAGGCAGGCAUUGUAACAGACAUAAAGACAACUUAUCUGUUUCAGCAGGAAGGAUUCAGUUUAUGAACUCUCAGACCAGAUCAUGUUGAACAAGGAGACUUUGAUGUGUGUCAUGAGAAAACUCAUUCUUUACUUCCCAGUCAAUUUAAAGGCCAGCUAUCCUGAGCUACUCGAAUGAAUGCACUGGUUAAACAUUGGAAAUAGUUUGUUUAUAUCCUUGUCUCUCUCUAGGCCAAUUGUGAUUACAUGACUCGACUCUACAUCUCGUCAAACAAGGCCUAGGUCUGGUUGCUGUAGACUGCUCGCCCUCAACAAAUAAAAUCUGGUUGACUAGCCUCCUUGUAUAUACAACUAUUAUUUGUUAAGAAGAAAUUAUCGUCAAUUUUCUACUACCUUCCAAUUGUCAGCUCUUUUUUUCCUCUCUGGUUUUUCCUAUACUUUACAGAAAAAGACAUUGAUCUAUACUGCCAUUCCCUCUAAUCCUGCCAUACUCAGUCAAAAGGAAUGACUUAAGAUGAAGAUGAUCAUCUGCUCGAGUCUAAAAUAUACAUUGUAUAUAAGAAUUGGUGAUUAGAAAAGCAAAAAACCUAAAACUUAAAUCUAGGAGUCUGUAUACUGUCUCCAUGUCUCCAUGCCUCAGAUCUCAUCUAAAUCUUUGAACAGCACCAUUCAACCAAUCUGAGGCCUUGACUUGCUUGUAAGAUGAUUCUCAGAGAUCGGCUGAGUUAAAAAAGAUGACGACUUGAUUACCAAAGAAAGUAGGGCCAACUUUGACAAAUCUGGCUCUGCUGACCCUGUCACUCCCAGAUGUAGCAUAGACUCCUAAACAGAACCUCAAGUCUGAUUGAGGAUAAGGCCUUCUCCUGAGCUGAAAGUUCUUUGGCAGAUGAGCAAGAAACUGAAAGCUGAUGUACCUGACUGGCUCUGUAAGAUCAGAAAACUGUAUCCAGAAUAAGCCCUAUGGAUUAACCCCUGAGUACCCAGAGUAAAAACUAAUUUACAGAACUUCCUUAUUGAUCUGCUGGUUCUUCCAGAUCAUAUUCUGGCUAUUGGUAUGGCUGGCCUUUCUGAAGGUACCCUGCUUGUCUAUUUUCCUGACUCAGCUCUUGCCUGCCUUUUUCACAUGUUGCUGCAAUUAGACUCACCGUGAGGACUACAGUCAAUUUCAGUCUAUCUUGUGCCCAAUACAACAAGGAUUUUUAAUAGUAACAACCCACACCUCACCCACUAGGACUCAAUGUUCACAACAGGAAGGACCAUUGCUGCAUACUCCUUGACCAGCAACUUUUUUGAAGAUAUUUUUAAGUGCAGAGUAGGCCUCUAUUCCUGUAUGUAAUUGUUCAUUUUCAGCACCUGGAACCUCAUCUAUCGGGUCUGGAAGGAAUACAGCAGUUCGAAAGCCGCGUCCAUUUCUCUCCUUCAGUAGUGCAGAAAUGAGUCCGAUUCACCAGUACACACAGAACUGUACCAGUUCAACCUAGCAAAAGAAGAAAAGUUUCCACUGUACUUAAAAUUUACAGCUGACUCAAAUUGCCUCACAGAAUUAUUUGAUGUAGAAGGCUAGUUGUCUUACUUCAGAUCAGCAGGACAGUUGGGCUCUCAGACUCAUGACCACUGAGUUUGCUUGUGUUGAAACUGUGGUUUCAUCCAACAUAUGCUAUUGGACAUGAUUAUUAUUCCAUUCAAAUGGAUUACAGACUUCUUGAGGACAGGACAAACUUAUCUCUCAUGGUGUUUUUUUAGAAUACUUUUAUAACCAAGGAAGAAACCAUGCCAGCUGUUACCAUUCAACUUCUUAAGCAGAGAUUAAGCUUUUUCAUAUCUGUUCUUAUCCUGGACAUCAGUAGUUUUUAAUUGCCCAGCAUCCGUUCCAUCUUGUAACAACUCCCUGAUGUUUCUUAAAACCACCUCUUCCUAUUUUCAGUCUGUGGUUUGGACAGUCUGACCCAACCUUGAGCUUUGUGGGUGAACAUGUAAUUCAGACCUCAUCAAUCAGCAAAUCCAUCUGAACUGUGGAGGAGAAGCUCUCUUUACUGAGGGUGCUUUAGCUUUGUAGGAUGAAAACCUCAAACUAACAGGGCCUACCAUGUAGAGAAUGAAGCCAGUGCAGGGGAAAGCAGAGCCAAAAUAUGGAGAGACUUGAAUCCUGAUGACAGCGUUUGUGCCCCUGGAUCCAACCGUGCCUGAAGCUAGAAUAUCCCCUGGACUUUUCAGUUAUGUGAACCA
Molecule: long non-coding RNA, 5412 nt
Filed under: Homo sapiens (human)
Lineage: Eukaryota; Metazoa; Chordata; Mammalia; Primates; Hominidae
Description: non-protein coding TUG1:72
Rfam family: Taurine upregulated gene 1 conserved region 4 (bases 1574-1754)
Source: RNAcentral